AUGUGUGUUUGCAAACUAGUCCUGGGCUGCGCUCCUCAGCCCCUCGGGAUCCAGGCGUCUGGAUCCGCCUGUCGCCUCUCGCUGGGUCUCCAACCACCACUGCCCAGCCUUGCGUGGGAGGGGUCGGCUACCUGUUUCCCACCGACCCCCAGCUGGCGCCCCACUCUCCCAGGUGGGCUGGGCGGAGCUGCGGUUUCCGGCCCCUUCUGCUCCGCCGGCGCCUUCCCGGGCUCUGGCUUAGGUUGCCUCCCCAGGGGGAACGGAACGGGUAUCUGCGCCCCUUUGCGAGGCUUCAGUCGCUUGGGCUCAGCUGCUGUUGGCAGCGCGGGAGGGCGCUGCGGGGAAGUCCCGGCCGGCCCAGGUGACUCCCGCCGGGCCACCACGCCCCUUUUUCGCGUGGAUGCCUCCUCUUUGAUGCACCCCCAACCCUUCCCAUCCCUAGCGUGUCUUCCCCACUCCUCCUCGUGCUCAUGCACUUCCCCGGGCUCCUCUCGGGCUGUCUGUCCCGGGCUCCACUCGUCCUUCUCGGCUUCUCCCGGUUAUAUAACUCUUCCUCUCGCCGUGUCCUGGUUUCAACUCCACAGACUCCGCCCUGGAACGGCGCGGGGAGGGGCAGGAGAGUUGGGGACCCAGACAGGUUCCGGCUGGCGGCCGGCUGGGCCACGGGGGAUCCCGCAGAUGGGAGACGGAGCCCCGCGGGACCCGGUGCCCCCGCCCCCCACCUGCUGCCCCCCACCCGAGAUCUCGCCCGGGAGAGAGAAGGCACAGUAUCUGCGAGAGGCGUGUCGGGACUCCGUCAGAAAUGUGGGUUGGGAGGUCAGGGCUGGAGGCGGGGAGGAGGAGCCGAGAAGCCCGAGUCCCUGGGGCUGGAGUGGUACUGGGAGUAAAAGAGAUAAAGGCAAGCCGCCUGGGUUCCUUCUUCUUCUCCUUUUUGGGUUCCCAGAAUUCCUAAGGCUAUUUCCCAGGAAGCUUAGCCAAAGGCCCCUUUCCGCCCCUAGGGGUCAAAGGUCUGUGUUAGAGGUGGCCUGGGAUGAUGUCACCAGUGCACGUGCCCUGGGACGGUUGCCAGGCCGGAGGCCUCCUCCCCUUUCCAUUCCGCCUCCCCCUCUCCCUCCCCACCUCUGCCCCGAGUCCGAUUCCAACCCCGUGCCAUCUUUUCCCCCUCUCCCUUCCCUUGGCCGUAGCAGCCUGCAGGUGGGAAACCCUGGCCUGGAGUUUUGUGAGGGGGAGGGGCACGGGUGUGGUGUGGCCCAAAGACUUUGCCCCUUUGCUGGGCUACGGGAACCCGGGGUCACUUUUCCCCAGGUGGGUAUGAGAACUUUCCUUCCCAGCCCCCUCCGCCCCGUGAAGGAGCCUCCCAGCAGUCUUGUCGCUUUCCCACCUGCUGCAUUGCUAAGUGUCCUAUUGCCCCCCUCCCCAUUUUGA
Molecule: long non-coding RNA, 1425 nt
Filed under: Felis catus (domestic cat)
Lineage: Eukaryota; Metazoa; Chordata; Mammalia; Carnivora; Felidae
Description: lncRNA (ENSFCAG00000052711.1)
Source: RNAcentral